ACCGACGGAUAUUCUUGCCAAGGG
This 24-nucleotide non-coding RNA is filed under the name Arabidopsis thaliana (thale cress). The record is from RNAcentral. Lineage: Eukaryota; Viridiplantae; Streptophyta; Magnoliopsida; Brassicales; Brassicaceae.